GGAACUGGCGGAAUUGGUAGACGCGCUAGAUUCAGGUUCUAGUGUUCGCAAGAACAUCCGGGUUCAAGUCCCGGGUUCCGCA
Molecule: transfer RNA, 82 nt
Filed under: Halothece sp. Uz-M2-17
Lineage: Bacteria; Bacillati; Cyanobacteriota; Cyanophyceae; Chroococcales; Halothecacae
Description: tRNA-Leu
Rfam family: tRNA
About the family: Transfer RNA (tRNA) molecules are approximately 80 nucleotides in length. Their secondary structure includes four short double-helical elements and three loops (D, anti-codon, and T loops). Further hydrogen bonds mediate the characteristic L-shaped molecular structure. tRNAs have two regions of fundamental functional importance: the anti-codon, which is responsible for specific mRNA codon recognition, and the 3' end, to which the tRNAs corresponding amino acid is attached (by aminoacyl-tRNA synthetases). tRNAs cope with the degeneracy of the genetic code in two manners: having more than one tRNA (with a specific anti-codon) for a particular amino acid; and 'wobble' base-pairing, i.e. permitting non-standard base-pairing at the 3rd anti-codon position.
Source: RNAcentral